AGGAGAUGGAGGGAGGUAAUACACAAGGAAUCCCCUGAAAGAGCUUCCUGGAACUAUCACCUGAAAGGAAGGAAAUGCCUGCUCAGCUAAACACAGCAGCUGCCUGCCUCACAAAGGAUCGUUGACGAAAUGGAGGAUUGGACAUGAUCGGACACCCACUGAGGAUCAAAGUGACAAUAGCAGGGGAAUGGUAUCUGCCUUUUCUGUUUAUUGGAAAAUAUUUUGAAGGAAAACUGAAAUUUUGGUAACGUUGAAGAACUCACAGAUCAGUGUGAACUAAUAUGAAGCAAAAAGGCCACAUACGGCCUAUAGCAGAAGAAAACAACAAAGGAGACGUGUUAUCGGUAGAGGCUCAUAGUACCAGUAGUUGUGGAUAACAGAUAGUCUGCACUCAGGGAAGAAAGGAGACCAAUGAGGCGUACAGGACAUGUCAGGACUGAAAUAAAAAAAGUAAUGAAGAGAACAACAAUCCCCAGGAUAUUGUUAAAAUUUUGAAAGAUCAACAGCAAAGAAAAAAGACAAUUGCAUGGAUCAGGAUGGACCCUUAAAGUCAAUAGCAACAUGAUAUACACCGAUUGCAUACUGUUUUAAAGAAAAAUGAAAACAUGAAAACCUCCCUCCGAGGAAUCAACUCAAUUUCCUAGUGACAGACAGUGCUGGAAGAUGAUAUUCAACUUAGUGCACUAAAUAACUAAUGAAAGAAAUAUGAUGACAACCUGCACAUAAUAUACUUAUACAUUUCAUGACAAAGAUCUCAAAGUCUUGUUCGGACUGCAAACUUAUAAAAUCGGAUUCUUCUCAAUAAUAUAGACACAAAAGUUCCCAUACAGUAAGAGAACAGAUGGUGAAAUCUUAGUUGCAAGGGAUGCACCCAUUAAAAAAGCAGAGCCUGCCAAAGAAAGAUUCAUUCCGACAGAGAUAUUUAUUCUUCCAGUGGACUUCAAAGGAAAUACAAAUUUAUGU
Long non-coding RNA from Hyla sarda, 963 nucleotides. RefSeq lists it as uncharacterized. NCBI's taxonomy places the organism in Eukaryota, Metazoa, Chordata, Amphibia, Anura, Hylidae. The record is from RefSeq and is a predicted model, not a curated record. The transcript has 8 exons.